ACCUACGGGGGGCAGCAAUAGGGAAUUUUCGUCAAUGGGCGCAAGCCUGAACGAGCAAUGCCGCGUGAACGAGGAAGGUCUUCGGAUCGUAAAGUUCUGUUGAAGGGGAAAAAGAGCGGAGAGAGGAAAUGGUCUCCGAUUGAUAUUACCCUUCGAGGAAGUCACGGCUAACUACGUGCCAGCAGCCGCGGUAAUACGUAGGUGGCGAGCGUUAUCCGGAAUGAUUGGGCGUAAAGGGUGCGUAGGCGGCCUGCUAAGUCUGGAGUGAAAGGUACCGGCUCAACCGGUACAGGCUCUGGAAACUG
Molecule: ribosomal RNA, 305 nt
Filed under: uncultured bacterium
Lineage: Bacteria
Description: bacterial SSU rRNA
Rfam family: Bacterial small subunit ribosomal RNA
Source: RNAcentral